This is a long non-coding RNA of Chiroxiphia lanceolata (lance-tailed manakin), 507 nucleotides long. RefSeq lists it as uncharacterized. The record is from RefSeq and is a predicted model, not a curated record. Lineage: Eukaryota; Metazoa; Chordata; Aves; Passeriformes; Pipridae. The transcript has 3 exons.
CCAGCCACUGGGGCCGUGUCGAGUGGUGGCACUGCCAGCCCUGCAGUGGGAUGUAGCCUGGAAACUGCCCAGAGCUGAGCCAAGUGAUUUAAAGGGACCAACCAAGGGAGGUGAAGAAACAAGGAAGAAAGGAGCUGAGGCAUCAGCCAAGCAGCACCAAGUUCCUGUGUCAGCAGGGACACUGAGCUGGUCCAGCUGUGGCAAGAAGAGCAAGUGGGCUGUGAAGGUUUGGAGCAGUCUGGAAGGUUCCUCAUGCCCAAAGGAUCCUGGAAGUGCAGCCCAGGAAGAGUCAGGAGUAAUGACAAGUGCCCCAGUUCUCGUGAAACUCAGCUGUGUAAAACAUUUAUGAAGCUAAAACUCCACAGCAUUGAGCUGUUGGGUCCCAAAUAAUAGUGGAGGGAGAGGCAGAAAAUCCCCCUGCUGCUGGAGCCGAACUGUCUGCAGUGACUGGGCAGGACUUGGCCCUGAUGCCUGAGUGCUCUCCAGCCCCCCAGGCUCGAUCCCAAC